AAAGGAAUAGACGGGGACCCGCACAAGCAGCGGAGCAUGUGGUUUAAUUCGAAGCAACGCGAAGAACCUUACCAGGACUUGACAUCCCUCUGACGGCACUUUAACAGGUGCGUCUCUUCGGAGCAGAGGUGACAGGUGGUGCAUGGUUGUCGUCAGCUCGUGUCGUGAGAUGUUGGGUUAAGUCCCGCAACGAGCGCAACCCUUGUCAUUAGUUGCCAGCACGUAAAGGUGGGAACUCUAAUGAGACUGCCGGGGAUAACUCGGAGGAAGGUGGGGAUGACGUCAAAUCAUCAUGCCCCUUAUGUUCUGGGCUACACACGUGCUACAAUGGUCGGUACAAAGAGAAGCGAGACCGCGAGGUGGAGCAAAACUCAAAAACCGACCCCAGUUCGGAUUGCAGGCUGAAACUCGCCUACAUGAAGUUGGAGUUGCUAGUAAUCGUGGAUCAGAAUGCCACGGUGAAUGCGUUCCCGGGUCUUGUACACACCGCCCGU
This 494-nucleotide ribosomal RNA is filed under the name uncultured bacterium. RNAcentral describes it as "bacterial SSU rRNA". It matches the Rfam family "Bacterial small subunit ribosomal RNA", at positions 903 to 1397 of the family's 1533-position model. The record is from RNAcentral.